This 79-nucleotide transfer RNA is filed under the name Cronartium ribicola 11-2. RNAcentral's name for it is "tRNA-Ser (AGA) (tRNA-Ser-AGA-78-1)". It matches the Rfam family "tRNA". From Rfam's summary of the family: Transfer RNA (tRNA) molecules are approximately 80 nucleotides in length. Their secondary structure includes four short double-helical elements and three loops (D, anti-codon, and T loops). Further hydrogen bonds mediate the characteristic L-shaped molecular structure. tRNAs have two regions of fundamental functional importance: the anti-codon, which is responsible for specific mRNA codon recognition, and the 3' end, to which the tRNAs corresponding amino acid is attached (by aminoacyl-tRNA synthetases). tRNAs cope with the degeneracy of the genetic code in two manners: having more than one tRNA (with a specific anti-codon) for a particular amino acid; and 'wobble' base-pairing, i.e. permitting non-standard base-pairing at the 3rd anti-codon position. Lineage: Eukaryota; Fungi; Basidiomycota; Pucciniomycetes; Pucciniales; Coleosporiaceae. The record is from RNAcentral.
GCGCACUUAGCUCAGUGGUUAGAGCACCCUUCUAGAGUUUUGGGAAAACAGGUCACGGGUUUGAGUCCCAUAGUGCACA